UACGGGGGGGGCAAGCGUUGUUCGGAAUUACUGGGCGUAAAGCGCACGUAGGCGGCGAUUCAAGUCAGAGGUGAAAGCCCGGGGCUCAACCCCGGAACUGCCUUUGAAACUAGAUUGCUAGAAUCUUGGAGAGGCGAGUGGAAUUCCGAGUGUAGAGGUGAAAUUCGUAGAUAUUCGGAAGAACACCAGUGGCGAAGGCGACUCGCUGGACAAGUAUUGACGCUGAGGUGCGAAAGCGUGGGGAGCAAACAGG
RNAcentral lists this ribosomal RNA (253 nucleotides) under uncultured bacterium. RNAcentral's name for it is "partial 16S ribosomal RNA". It matches the Rfam family "Bacterial small subunit ribosomal RNA", at positions 524 to 776 of the family's 1533-position model. The record is from RNAcentral.